Molecule: long non-coding RNA, 474 nt
Filed under: Dermacentor andersoni
Lineage: Eukaryota; Metazoa; Arthropoda; Arachnida; Ixodida; Ixodidae
Description: uncharacterized LOC126542515
Source: RNAcentral
AUGCUUUUUUAAGGUGUUUUGGUGCAUCGGCCCUUCGAAGUCUACGUAAUUAUUCGUAGGCUUUUUUUAUAGGCCGCCUAUUAAUCGGGUUUUCUGGCUCUUCUAUCGUCUGCUGUGGGGCGAUAACAGUGUCAUGUCAACUUUAACGAGCUUAGUUAGAGCUGCCGGCAGGUGCUUCAACGUGAUAUACAAGGGCCUAUCAGCACAGACUGGCCAACUGCUACAGCCCUUAGCUGUAUCAGCAGAGUUACAGCAAGUGAGAAAUAGAGUGCAUUGCUUUUUUCCACGUCCAAGCGAGCACAAGAGAAUAGCCAAGUUUGGCUUCAAGAAGCGCAUCUCGACUAAAAAUGGGAGAAAAGUACUUUUUCGCCGUAUGCUGAAAGGGAGACACGUGUUGUCCCAUUGACAGUUUGUGCCACCAUGCAUUAGAGUAGUAUUGUAUUAGUCGCCAGUAAACUACAUGUUUUGUAUGCA